GCCCCCACCCGAAAAAAAAAAAGUUCACGUUAUGUAUACAGUAUAUAAGGAUAUUGUAUAUUUUGUUCAACUCUUAAUGUCUCUUUCCAGUCCUUGUUUCAUACCAACAAAACGCCCUUUUUACUCCCUUUAACAAACCAAAAAAUAGUACUUCUCUGACUUAAAAUAGCAACAAAACCGGUAUUACCAUCUGCCUCGUUGGGAAAGGGAUCUGGAGGAUGUCACCGGAUGGCAGCCCCCGCGGCAUCAGCGCAGGGGUCAAGUGGCUGGCAAACAGGCGAGGGGAGGGCCGAGAUACAUAAUCGGGUCGGCCGUCAGGAUAUUCCAGCCACGGCAUCUUGUCCAGAAAAUCUUUCAGGAGAACAUUUGGAGCAGAUCGGUGGAGUAGCAAGAUGACGACUGACAAGAAAUGAGCAAGUCGGCUCCAUAAAGGUGGAAGCACGCUUCAGAUAUCGUCCAAACAAAACGAAAUCGAAUGAAGAGAUCAAGACAAACCCUGAGUGUCCCUGAGUUGGAUUUCUGCAUGAAGUCAACGGGCCAGAACGACUCCAGGGUGUAAUGAGAGACUAAUCAUUAUCGACAGCAGGUGUUUAAA
Non-coding RNA from Paramormyrops kingsleyae, 595 nucleotides. The record is from RefSeq and is a predicted model, not a curated record. NCBI's taxonomy places the organism in Eukaryota, Metazoa, Chordata, Actinopteri, Osteoglossiformes, Mormyridae.